GCCACCUCCCCCUUUGCUCUCAUUUUUGCUCUCUCCACUCACACCCACUCCAUCCCCUCCUUCUCCCACGAGCUGCUGCCCCUCCUUGCUUGCAUGGCCGGCCAUGGCCAUGGAAACCUCUCCAAGAUGCAACUCCCUCCUCCCUCAAGCUUUCCCUCACCAUGAGAGCCUCCCUCUCCAUCUUCUCCCCAACCUUAGAUGGUUUAAUCUCCUCUUCUUCUUCCUCCAUUGCUAAGAUUGGAUCUUGAUGCAGGUGCAUGUUGGUCCAAGCAUGGAGAAGCAUGAGCAAUCCUCAGAUCUGAAGUUCUUGAGCAAAAUCCAAAUCGAGUGAUUCAAAGUUCCGCAGAUAGAUACGGAAAAGAUCUACAACUUGGCGUUGGUCUCAUCCUCAAAUUCGUUACGGAUUGUCCGUGCUGUAGGUGAAAGCCCUCUUCAGUACCUUCAUUUUGGCGGUGGUUUCACUUCGAUUGACCUCCUGAAACUGAAAUGGUUCACAGAUCAAGAUCUGAUCAGAUCUGACUUUGUCGAAUUAAACCAGGAGCUUGGGAAUGAAUUUUUGAAUGAAACCAAUUGGGGGAUACUUAGUUGUGCCAUGGUGAUACCGAGAGAGGCAAUUGCUAAGUUAUGAUACUCUCAUACCUUUACUAGAUGCGAACGAUUCCGGAGAAGAAGAAGAAGUGGUUCGGACAAGGAUUUUAUUUAUAUUGACGGGAUUCUUAUAUUGAUGAAGUUGAAGAAGUCCAGGGACAAAUAAGCCAAG
Non-coding RNA from Lolium perenne, 760 nucleotides. NCBI's taxonomy places the organism in Eukaryota, Viridiplantae, Streptophyta, Magnoliopsida, Poales, Poaceae. The record is from RefSeq and is a predicted model, not a curated record.